Molecule: ribosomal RNA, 342 nt
Filed under: Trioza malloticola
Lineage: Eukaryota; Metazoa; Arthropoda; Insecta; Hemiptera; Triozidae
Description: partial 12S ribosomal RNA
Source: RNAcentral
AAAAAUUAAAUUGAUUUUUAGAGUAGUGUUGGUUAUAAUCCUUAAACUCAAAAGAUUUGGCGGUAUUUUAUCUUAUUAGAGGAAUCUGUUUAUUAAUUGAUAUUCCACAAUUAUUUUUUACUUUUAUUAUUAAACUUGUAUACCGCCGUCAUGAAUCUAUUUAAAUAUUAAUUUUCUAUUUUUUUUAUGUAAUUUAUGUUAGGUCAAGGUGCAGUAUUUAAGAGCUUAAAAUGGAUUACUAUAUAAAUUAUGUAUGGUACUAUAAAAAUAAUUAAUAGAAAAAAAGGAUUUAAUAGUAAAUUUAUCAGUAUUUAUAAUAUGAAUUGAGAUUCUAAAAUAUGU